Molecule: ribosomal RNA, 253 nt
Filed under: uncultured bacterium
Lineage: Bacteria
Description: partial 16S ribosomal RNA
Rfam family: Bacterial small subunit ribosomal RNA
Source: RNAcentral
UACGUAGGGGGCAAGCGUUAUCCCGAUUUACUGGGUGUAAAGGGAGCGUAGACGGCAGUGCAAGUCUGGAGUGAAAGGCGGGGGCUCAACCCCCGGACUGCUCUGGAAACUGUACGGCUGGAGUGCAGGAGAGGUAAGUGGAAUUCCUAGUGUAGCGGUGAAAUGCGUAGAUAUUAGGAGGAACACCAGUGGCGAAGGCGGCUUACUGGACUGUAACUGACGUUGAGGCUCGAAAGCGUGGGGAGCAAACAGG